RNAcentral lists this ribosomal RNA (510 nucleotides) under uncultured bacterium. RNAcentral's name for it is "bacterial SSU rRNA". It matches the Rfam family "Bacterial small subunit ribosomal RNA", at positions 15 to 518 of the family's 1533-position model. The record is from RNAcentral.
GAUCCUGGCUUAGGAUGAACGCUAGCUACAGGCUUAACACAUGCAAGUCGAGGGGCAGCAUUGGAGUAGCAAUACUCAGAUGGCGACCGGCGCACGGGUGAGUAACACGUAUCCAACCUGCCUAUCAGAGGGGAAUAACCCGGCGAAAGUCGGACUAAUACCGCAUAAAACAGGGGCACCGCAUGGUGAUAUUUGUUAAAGAAAUUCGCUGAUAGAUGGGCAUGCGUUCCAUUAGGUAGUUGGUGAGGUAACGGCUCACCAAGCCGACGAUGGAUAGGGAACUGAGAGGUUGGUCCCCCACACUGGUACUGAGACACGGACCAGACUCCUACGGGAGGCAGCAGUGAGGAAUAUUGGUCAAUGGGCGGGAGCCUGAACCAGCCAAGUCGCGUGAAGGAAGAAGGAUCUAUGGUUCGUAAACUUCUUUUGCAGGGGAAUAAAGUGCAGGACGUGUCCUGUUUUGUAUGUACCCUGAGAAUAAGGAUCGGCUAACUCCGUGCCAGCCGCUGC